Molecule: transfer RNA, 85 nt
Filed under: Felis catus (domestic cat)
Lineage: Eukaryota; Metazoa; Chordata; Mammalia; Carnivora; Felidae
Rfam family: tRNA
About the family: Transfer RNA (tRNA) molecules are approximately 80 nucleotides in length.
Source: Rfam by way of RNAcentral
GCCUGGGUGGCUCAGUCGGUUGAGCAUCCGACUUCAGCUCGGGUCACGAUCUCACGGUUCGUGAGUUCGAGCCCCGCGUCAGGCU